Molecule: ribosomal RNA, 505 nt
Filed under: uncultured bacterium
Lineage: Bacteria
Description: partial 16S ribosomal RNA
Rfam family: Bacterial small subunit ribosomal RNA
Source: RNAcentral
GACGAACGCUGGCGGCGUGCCUAAUACAUGCAAGUAGAACGCACAGUUUAUACCGUAGCUUGCUACACCAUAGACUGUGAGUUGCGAACGGGUGAGUAACGCGUAGGUAACCUGCCUGGUAGCGGGGGAUAACUAUUGGAAACGAUAGCUAAUACCGCAUAAUAUUAAUUAUUGCAUGAUAAUUAAUUGAAAGGUGCAAUUGCACCACUACCAGAUGGACCUGCGUUGUAUUAGCUAGUAGGUGAGGUAACGGCUCACCUAGGCGACGAUACAUAGCCGACCUGAGGGGGUGAUCGGCCACACUGGGACUGAGACACGGCCCAGACUCCUACGGGAGGCAGCAGUAGGGAAUCUUCGGCAAUGGACGAAAGUCUGACCGAGCAACGCCGCGUGAGUGAAGAAGGUUUUCGGAUCGUAAAGCUCUGUUGUAAGAGAAGAACGGGUGUGAGAGUGGAAAGUUCACACUGUGACGGUAUCUUACCAGAAAGGGACGACUAACUACGUG